GAUGAACGCUGGCGGCGUGCCUAAUACAUGCAAGUCGAGCGAACAGACGAGGAGCUUGCUCCUCUGACGUUAGCGGCGGACGGGUGAGUAACACGUGGAUAACCUACCUAUAAGACUGGGAUAACUUCGGGAAACCGGAGCUAAUACCGGAUAAUAUAUUGAACCGCAUGGUUCAAUAGUGAAAGACGGUUUUGCUGUCACUUAUAGAUGGAUCCGCGCGGUAUUAGCUAGUUGUUAAGGUAACGGCUUACCAAGGCAACGCUGCGUAGCCGACCGAAGAGGUGGAUCGCCCACAUGGGAACUGGGACACGGUCCAGACUACUACGGGAGGCAGCAGUAGGGAAUCUUACGCAGUGGGCGAAAGCCUGACGGAGCAACGCCGCGUGAGUGAUGAAGGUCUUCGGAUCGUAAAACUCGGUUAUUAGGGAAGAACAAAUGUGUAAGUAACUAUGCACGUAUUGACGGUACCUAAUCAGAAAGCCACGGCUAACUACGUG
This 497-nucleotide ribosomal RNA is filed under the name uncultured bacterium. RNAcentral's name for it is "partial 16S ribosomal RNA". It matches the Rfam family "Bacterial small subunit ribosomal RNA", at positions 28 to 507 of the family's 1533-position model. The record is from RNAcentral.